AUUGAACGCUGGCGGCAUGCCUUACACAUGCAAGUCGAACGGUAGAGUAGCAAUACUUGAGAGUGGCGAACGGGUGAGUAAUAUAUCGGAACGUGCCCAGUCGUGGGGGAUAACGUAGAGAAAUUUACGCUAAUACCGCAUACGAUCUAAGGAUGAAAGCGGGGGGAUUCGCAAGGAACCUCGCGCGAUUGGAGCGGCUGAUAUCAGAUUAGGUUGUUGGUGAGGUAAAAGGCUCACCAAGACCGACCGGAAUCUGUAGCUGGUUUGAGAGAACGACCAGCCACACUGGGACUGAGACACGGCCCAGAC
RNAcentral lists this ribosomal RNA (309 nucleotides) under uncultured bacterium. RNAcentral's name for it is "bacterial SSU rRNA". It matches the Rfam family "Bacterial small subunit ribosomal RNA", at positions 30 to 336 of the family's 1533-position model. The record is from RNAcentral.